UGAGUAAAGUGGCGCACGGGUGAGUAACACGUGAAUGAUCUACCUCCGAGUGGGGAAUAACUGAGAGAAAUCUUAGCUAAUACCGCAUAACACUUACGAGUCAAAGCAGAAAUGCGCUUGGAGAGGAGUUCGCGGCCGAUUAGCUAGUUGGCGGGGUAAUGGCCCACCAAGGCGAUGAUCGGUAUCCGGCCUGAGAGGGCGCACGGACACACUGGAACUGAAACACGGUCCAGACUCC
Molecule: ribosomal RNA, 238 nt
Filed under: uncultured bacterium
Lineage: Bacteria
Description: partial 16S ribosomal RNA
Rfam family: Bacterial small subunit ribosomal RNA
Source: RNAcentral